CUUGAUAACUAGAAAGUCCCAAUGUGUGCCAACCUCCGUGCUCCGUGGCAAGGCAGACUGGCAAAAAUGCCCAACCUUUACUCACAUUCGAGAAAACACUCCCAACAUGAUUACUUUCUCAAAAUUCUCAAAAAUUGAAGAGACACUGCUUUCCAAAUCUCAAGAGUCAGACUCCCAACAGGAUUGCUUGCUCAAAAAUCGAAGAGGCACCGCCCUCCGAAUCUCGAGAGCCAGACUUCCAACAGGAUUACUUUCUCAAAAAUUGAAGAGACACUGCUUUCCGAAUCUCAAGAGUCAGACUCCCAACAGGAUUGCUUUCUUAAAAAUCGAAGAGGCACCACUCUCCGAAUCUCGAAAGCCAGACUCCCAACAAGAUUGCUUGCUCAAAAAUCGAAGAGGCACCGCCCUCCGAAUCUCGAGAGCUAGACUCCCAACAGGAUUACUUUCUAAAAAAUCGAAGAGACACUGCUCUCCGAAUCUCAAGAGUCAGACUCUUAACAAGAUUGCUUUCUAAAAAAUCGAAGAGGCACCACUAUCCGAAUAUCGAGAGCUAGACUCCUAACAGGAUUACGUGCUUAAAAAUUGAAGAGGCACCGCCCUUCAAAUCUCGAGAGCCAAACUCCCAACAAGAUUGCUUUCUCAAAAAUCGAAGAGGCACAGUUCUCUGAAUCUCGAAAGCAGAUCCCCGACAGGAUUGUUUGUUUGAAAACCGAAAAGGCAUCGCUCUCCAAACUUCGAGAGCCAGAUUUCCUUGGAUAAAACUUAUCUGCAAUCUUCACACGCAACAUCAGCUUUCUAGAUACCACAUACCACUUUUUCAAAGUGCUCUGACAAAGUUAAAACAUAUGAAGCUUGCAGCUCCCAUUACAUUGCUAUGACCAAGAAGGGUAAAGGAAUAGCAUUACUACUUGUUGUUAGGGAAACUCCUAUAUAUGUCGACCUCAAUCCUUCACAGCCAGGUAAACCUGCAAAUAAAAAAAAAUGCUCAACUUUUCUUCACAUCCGAGAGGGCACUCUCAGCAGAGUCUCUCGAAAUACUCAGCUUCUUUUCCUCCCGAUAAUACCUCUGCAAACAAGCCACACCAGAGCAAAAGUAUCUCAUAUCAUCAGGGUUAAAAGCAAGAGUAUCCCAUAUCAUGCUUUUUCCCUGUCUUUUCCUUUGGCCUUGUUCUUACCUGCAAGACAAGGAGAAAGAGAGCAAUCAGUCAGCACUUGGAAUCAAGCUUCCUAGUCAGGAACUGACUGCCUGGAACCCCUUGCCUGAUUACUUACCUGGCAUUGCUCUCGAGUACUCAUCUUCAACAUCUUAUGCUUCCAGAGAAGAUACCACAUCUGCCUGAGGAACAGAUAGGGCAAGUGAGAAGGAUACAAGGAAGCAUGUGGAGACAAGCGUAACAGAACACGUGCCGAUACAUCCACUACUUUGUCAAAAGCAAAAGUAUCCUAUAUCAUCAGGGUCGAACGUACUUUAGAUUUGAUGGACUUGUUUUGACCCUCAAAUUCUUGAGUCGGCCUUAUACUCUGGAGGAAACCAGAAAACCCUCCAGCCCAGUUCAAGAAUAAGCCUGUGGAAAGUUACUUCUUCAAAAGCAAAAGUAUCUCAUAUCAUCUCUUCUCCAUUUGCUUCUCCUUAUCCUUGUUGCUGUUUACGACACAAGGAGAAGGAGAACAAUCAACCGGAAGCCGAAGUCGAACCUCCGAUCCAGGUUGCUUGCUUGGAAGUCUGAUUGCUUACCUUGUCUGUUACCUUAUUCGGCAAAUCUCCUAGCUCGGCGACUUGGGGGACUCCUACUAUAGGGUUUGUAUCGCACUUGACCAAGCCCGAAACUACAAGUAAGCUUCAAGUGAAAUUGAUACAUUACCUUGUGCAUCUUCAUCGGUUAAAGAUACCAUCCCUGGAUGGAGGAAAAGUACUUCCAGAGAAGAUGCCACAUCUACAUAUGAGACAGAUAAGGCAAGUGAAAAUGAUACCACACUUCGGUACUUAGAAGUUUCGUGAUUACUCAAUGGCUUGGAUCUUGCAAGUCCCCAACUGAGGAGUUUUCCUUACUCGGGAACUUAGGGGAGCACUAUUUGUACCAUACUUGACCAAUCCCAAAACUACUGAGUAUUGGUCAACGUUAUACCGUCAAUGACCCAGAAGAGUUUCCCUCAAACCAGAAGGCCAAUCACAUCGCGACAUGUGUCGACAUCAGAAGCCAGUUAUAGCGCGACACGUGUCAACAUCAGAAGCCAAUCACAACACGACACGUGUCAAUGUCAAAACGAAACUAGAAACUCUUUUCUAUAAAUAGAGAUCAUUCUCUCACAAUAUUUCCUAAUGUCAUUUGUACUAAAUCAUUCACUUGUACUCACUAAAGGAAAGCUUGAACCUAUGUACUUGUGUAAACCCUUCACAAUUAAUGAGAACUCUUCUACUCCGUGGACGUAGCCAAUCUGGGUGAACCACGUACAUCUUAUGUUUGCUUCCCUAUCUCUAUCCAUUUACAUACUUAUCCAUACUAGUGACCGGAGCAAUCUAGCGAAGGUCACAAACUUAACACUUUCUGUUGUACCAAAAUCCUCACUGAUUUUGUGCAUCAAUAGGUUAUGUAGGAUGGUUGACUGUUGACCAAGGGUUGACUUUUAGUCAAAAUGUUUUAAAUCGUUCUUAGAUACUAAAUUUAGCAUUACUAGAGUCAUGAUAAAGCAAAGUGGACCUACUUUGUUUAGCAUGUCAUCUUAUGAGAUAUGCACCUCAAGUUGCUUGUUAGUGACGCCUUACCGGGAUACACGUGGUUAUUAGACUUCUAUAUAUGGGUGACUUUAAUAUAUUUGGUACAGUUAUUACCUUGAAAAUCCUCAUUCUAGUAUACUUAAUGGGUAUGACAUGAAUUUAUAAAAUGUGUUUGCUACUAAAUAGUUACUUUUAACUUCAGUCCUCGAUCUAUUUUAUGAAAUGAGGUUUGCUAUGCAUAUUUGAAAUGUUUAUGAAACUUGAGGGCUAAUAGAGGACCGUUAACCAUUUUUAGGGAAAGGUGUAACAUCAAACAUGUGUCAUGUCUAGUUCCAUUAAGAUCUUUUAAACUAGGUUCCGUUAAGUGGUUUGGGACAAUGCUUCGCUUGGGUUUUGAUUGGUGGUCUUCAACCCUAUUUUCAUUAGAUUUUGGUUUAGUGGUCUGAAAUCCUUUUUCCCUAUCUAUUUUGUUGAGUGGUCCGAAAACCUUCUCUGUUUGGAUUCCGUUACAUGGUGUGAUACCCCUUCCUAAAUUUGUCGUAUUUUAUUGUAUUGAAUGUAUGAAAUUACCAAAUUACCCUUAAGGCAUGAACGUUGACUUUCAUUGACCCUCUCGUCGAAAUGCAUAUGACUAAUUUUGUUUUUUUUAAUUAUUCUUAACGUACCCAUUGCCACGAACUUGUAGUCGUGAACGGAUUCGAAUUUGGAAUUAUAACGAAAAUUUUACGUUAUGAAACGUCGAAUGUUUUUCGGAUAUUUUGCGUUUCGUCUCUUAUGACCUUAAUUUAUAAGCCAAUGGAACCCACUUUGGAUCCUUAUCCCCUUGUUCUUCCUCCUUACCCGUGAGCCCCCAUCCCCUUUAUGUUUUCUGUUAACUCUCUCUAUCACUCUCUCUCUCAAAACUCUCUCCCUCUCUACACUCUCGGCCCUAACUCUCUAUAUCACUUUCCUUCUCAAAACUCUCUCCCUCUCUACACUCUCGGCCCUCUCAUUUCUCUCUCAAACCAGCCAUUCCUAAGGGCACCACACAUAACAACAACAAACAACAAUGACAACACCUCCCACCACCUAAUAACCCUAGUUAUGAACCCAUAAACUAAUGAGAAACACCUCAAAACACCUCCUCAAUUGCUGCACAGUGCAUUUCCACUGUUCACCGAGUUUUCCGAUGAGUUUCCCCAUUCUCUGGCUAAGGUAAGCCUUGAACCUCGUCCAAAAGUUGUAGAUCGUGUCUUGGUGUAUGUUUGGAAGUAGUUUUGAGAAGUUUUGGUGAUAUUUAGACAUAGGAAACUCAUGGAGAAAGCUUCCCCAAUUUUCAGGCAAUGACCACCACAUUCAAGGUAUUUUCCAGCCAAACUACAGCGAGUUAGUUGUUAAAAAAUAUACCAUUCUCUUCAUCUCAUUAAGAAGCAUAAUUUUCAUUUUUGAAUCACUCGAUUUCGUUGAGUAUGGGAGAAGUUAUGAACGUUUAAAGUUUACCCAGUUUCUGACGAGUUCCCCAGUUUUCAUACGGACCAGUUAACUUUUAGGCCAUUUUCUGGCCAACUCCGACCACCACUAAUGCUAACAUCCAAUUGAUAAAGAGGAAUUUGAAGAUGGCGCAAGAUCAAUAGAAUAGCAUCGUUGAUCGACAUUCUAGGGAUCAUGAGUAUAAGAUUGGUGAUUUUGUCUUUCUAAAGUUAUCACCCUGAAAGGGUGUGGUUCAUUUUGGUAAACGAGGGAAGUUGAGUCCUCGAUAUGUUGGCCCUCACAAAAUUACAGAAAGGAUUAACGCGGUUGCUUAUAGAUUGGAGUUACCACUAGAGUUUUCGCAGAUACACGAUAUAUUGCAUGCUUCCAUGAUUUGGAAGUACGUACCGUAUCCAUCUCACGUUUUGCAGUGGCAACCGUUAAAAGUGAGUCAGGACAUGAGCUAUGUUAAGGAGCCAAUAGCGAUUAUUGAUUGACAUGAUAAAACACUGAGAAACAAGGUCGUUUUGUUGGUAAAGGUGUUAUGGAGGAACCACGUAGUAGAGGAAGCGACGUGGGAAACAGAAGAACUGAUGAGAAGUUAAUAUCCGCACAUGUUUACUUGAAGUAGCAAAUUUCGAGGACGAAAUUCUCUAAAGGGGGUAGAUUGUGAUACCCCGUCCUAAAUUUGUCGUACUUUAUUAUAUCAAACGUAUGAAAUUACCAAAUUACCCUUGAGGCAUGAAAGUUGACUUUUGUUGACCGUCUUGUUGAAACGUGUAUGACUUAUUUUCUUAGUUAUUCUUAAUGUACUCAUCGCCAUGAACGUGUGGGCAUGAAUGAAUUCAAAUUUGGAAUUAUAACGAAGAUUUUACAUUAUGAAACGUCAAACGUUUUUUGGCUAUUUCGCGUUUCGUCUUUGUGACCUUAAUUUGUGAGCCAAUAAGACCCACUUUGGAUCCUUGUCCCUUUGUUCUUCCCCCUCACCCAUGAGCCAUCCCUUCCCUUUAUGCUUUCUAUCAACUAUUUCUCUCAAAACUCUCUCCCUUUAUACUUCUCGGCCCUCUUCUUUCUCUCUCAAAUCAACCCUCCUUGAGGGCACCACACACAACAACAACAAUGACAACACCUCACACCACCCAACAACCCUAGUUGUGAACCUAAAACAAACAAGAAACACCCUAAAACACCUCAUCAAUCGCUGCACAAUGCAAUUCAACUGUUCACCGAGUUUUUCGACGAGUUUGCACAUUCUUUAGUGAAAGUAAGCCUUGAACCUCAUCCAAAAGUUGUAGAUCGUGUCUUGGUGUAUGUUUGGAAGUAGUUUUGAGAAGUUUUGAUGAUGUUUAGACAUAGGAAACUCACGAGAAAGCUUCCCCAGUUUUCGGGCGAUGACCGCCAAGUUCGAGGCAUUUUUCGGCUAAACUAUGGUGAGUUAGCGUCGAAAAAUGUACCAUUCUUUUCGUCUUGUUGAGAAGUAUGAUUUUCGUUUUUAAAUCACUCGAUUUUGUUAAGUAUUAAAGAAGUUAUGAACAUUUACAAUUUACCCAGUUUCUGGUGAAUUCCCCAAUUUUCAUACUAACCAGUCAACUUUCAAGUCAUUUUUCGGCAAACUCUAGCCACCACUCGGUCCUGACUUGGUAUGAAUCUCUUCUCCAUAUUCCUAACUACAUUUUGGCUUUUGAAUCACUUGAUUUGGACUUGUAUCAAGCUCGAAAUUGGCUCUUGCAGUUAAGGGAAAAAUCUGGGAUUAUUCUAGAAAUUCAAAGGUCGACGUGUGGAGUGCACGCGCCUCCGCCGAAGGUACUGUGCUUUGUCGCUGACCACGGCGGUGCCAGCCAACUUUCCGGCAACCCAUCUCGAUGUGUGGCCUCCUAGGCCGCUGCCGUAUAGCAGUGUAUGCGGUGGCGUGUGGGGGAACCUGAGGUCCCCCCUUAGGUUUUUCGACGUUCGUUUUCCCAAAUUCAAUCAUUUUAGUAAAGUUUUAUUAAUUGGUCCUUUUUUGUGCUUAGGUGCGUUUGUUAGUGGCGUUUCCGUCCUCCCUAGUUCGAAUUGCUCUUCGGCGACAAAGUAUCUGUGAAUGGACCAUUUCCAAAAUGCAUGAUUUUAAUUACUAGAAAUGCAUACAUGAAAAGCAUGAUUUUGUGACUACAUUUUAUGGAACGUUUAUGAAUAAAUCGGAUUUAUGCUUCAUGAAAUAUCAUGCUUUAUCGAAUGUUACUAAGAUAUUAAUGAAUAUGAUUUAUGAUAUGAUGUUUGAGCUAUUGAGCUCUGAUACGAUAUUUUUCAGAAAAGUUACGUUCAUGAUUUUUUGUGCUUACUUAGUGCACGUUCAUUUAUAUACGCCUUCGGGAGGGCGAUGUAGGGCAUUUGGUCGGGAUAUGUAGUGCCUUCGGGAGGAAGAUAUUUGAUUAUGCCUUAGGGCAUGCAGGCAAUAUAGUGCCUUCAGGCGGGCGGGCAAUGUAGUGCCUUCGGGCGGAAGAUAUUGAUAUAUAUGCCUUCGGGUAGGCAAUGUCGUGUCAGCGGGCGAUUGUGAUACCACUACUAAGCACACUAUAUACAAUAUAUGUUUUAUGAAGGUUUUAUGGCAUGCUAGGAUUUUCGGAAAACCUAUUACUUAUUAUGUUAUAUGAGUUUUCUAAACUGAGGUUUAGUAUGUUGAAGAAUAAAUAUUUUAGUUUACUUAUAUAUAAACUUGGUCCACUCAUAUUUUCUUUUGCGCCUCUUCAAUACCUAGGAACGAGGCAUACGACCCGAGCUACGAGGCAUUCCCAUAUCAGUGAAUUUGCAUCAUCCCCUAUGCGUAGGACAUCUCUUGUAAUUGCACUUUCUAAUAUUCCUUCCGUUUGUACUUUGAAUUAGUAGUAUGCUCUGAACAUGUCAUGCAUUAUCACUUUUACAUAGUUGGCAGUUGAAUGUUAUAUUUUAUUAAGGUUUGUACUUGAAUACUUUACUACGUAGUUACUCGCGAAAUUAUUAUGCAUGUUUCACAUGUUCUCAGCAUAUGCAUUUAUAACAUGGCUUGCAUCACCAUUGGGUGUAGGCCAACACAUGGCCAUCCCAUUGUCCUUUGGACACCGGGAUUGGGGCGUGUCAAAUGGUCCGGAAUCCCUUUCCUUAUUCGGUUCGGUUAAGUGGCAGGGAUUCCUCUUUCGUUUAGAUUAAGUUGAGUGGUCCAGAAUCUCUUUCCUUAUUCGGUUCCGUUGAGUGGUCCGGAACCUUAUCUUCAUUGUAUUCUGUUGAGUGGUCAUAUAUCCCACUUUCUAUUGGUUCCAUUGAGUUGGUUUGAAAUCCUAGAUUCUUGUGAAUAAUAGUUGCUCAAAUUUUAUGCUUAUUUUUGUAACUUAGGGUUACAAUGUGUUAGAACAAAUCAAAUGUCAACACCCAAACCUCCAUUUGUAAGUCCCAAGGUCCAUAGCUUUGGCCUAAUUCUUUUCAAACCAUAAAGGAGGGAAAAGACUUAUAAAGUGGACUUCCACCAUGUGUUUGGGCGAUGUGGGACUAAGUCCCACUCACAAGUUCCAACAAUACCCCACAUUUUCUAUUCAAAUGCUAGCAAUACCCCACAUUUGAAUAGAAAAUAAGAUACUAACUAAAUCAGUAACAUCGUUCCAGAGAACUGAGAUAUGAUAUGCAUCGAGAUAGGUAUCUUUUGGACUUGAACCGUCUCUAGUGAGUACUUAUCGGAUUUACCUAAUGAAGCAGUGAAUUUAAUAUCUUGAACCGAUCAUUGUAAGUGGUAAAUCGAAACAAUAAGUAUCACACAUAUCACAUUUUGACACACUUCAAUUCAUACGGUUGUGUUCAUUUUGAUCCUGAACAGAUCCUGAUUUCAUGAGACCUGUAAAGAAUUGUAGCCAUAUCAAAUCUCAAAAAUGCGACCCCACAUCAAUCUCAUAUAGGUAAUGCUAACUAAGAAUAGCUUGUUCUAUUCAUCUUAACUAUAAGAUAUUAGCAUUAUUAAGAAUAAUGAUUCACCCUUUACGUCUUACAAGUAACACACUGUUUGCCAUCAUAGGAAUAAGUAAGGAUUGUGUGUUUCUUACCUUGAGUUUUCCUCAACUAGUUUGCCUAUUGAACCUAGACCAUGGGAUCUCCAAUUAGCUAGGUUAGGUUUCCGUCAAGUUAUAACUCAUUGAGUUGGCUUUAAACCCAUUCCCCUCGAUGUAAAUGCCACUUGAUCCUUAGAUAGGCCUUUUGUCAAAGGAUCAGCAAUAUUCUCCUUAGAUUUAAUAUAGUCAAUGAAGAUAGUUCCAUUCUUGAGUAGCUGUCUAAUGGUUUUAUGUCAUCGCCUUAUAUGUCUUGACUUUCCAUUAUAUUCAGCGUUUUUUGGCUCAACCUUGUGCAACCAUGCUAUCACAAUGUAUACAUACUGCAGUCACAGGCUUUGGCCAUAAUGGAAUAUCUUCCAGAAAAAUUUUAAGCCAUUCAACUUCAUCAGCAGCUGUAUCUAAGGCUAUAAAUUCUGAUUCCAUUGUCGAACGUGCUAUACACGUUUACUUUGAUGAUUUCCAUGACACAGCUGCUCCACCAAGUGUAAAUACAUAUCCACUUGUGGAUUUACUGUCUGUGCUCCCUGAAAUCCAAUUUGCAUCACUAUAUCCGUCUGAUACGGGCGGAUAUUGAUUAUAAUGCAAGCCAUAAUUCAUUGUAUGCUUUAAGUAUCUUAAUACCCUUAUUAAAGCAUUCCAAUGAUCUCUUCCAGGAUUACUUGAAUACCUACUUAAUCGGCUUAUUGAAUAAGCGAGAUCAGGUCUUGUACAAUUCAUAAUGUACAUCAAGCAACCUAUAACUUGUGUAUACUCCAAUUGAGAUACGCUCUCUUCUUCGUUUUUAGUAAGUUUAUGAAUUGGAUCAAAUGGAGUGACUGCAGGUUUACAAUCAUAAUGUCCAAAUCGUUUUAAAACCUUUUCAAUGUAAUGUGAUUGAGUUAGAACAUAUCCAUCUGAAUUCCUUAGAAUUCGAACUCCAAGAAUCACAUCAGCUAAUCCCAUAUCUUUCAUAUCAAAGCUAGAAUUUAGCAUUUUCUUUGUGGAGUUAAUCACAUCUUUGUUUGUUCCCAGUAUAAGCAUGUCAUCAACAUAAAGACACACAAUAACACAAGCAUUUUUCAUUUGCUUAACAUAAAUGCAUUUAUCACUUUCAUUGUCACAAAUCCAUGUGUGAGCAUAUUAUGAUCGAAUUUUUCAUGUCAUUGCUUAGGAGCUUGUUUAAGUCCAUAUAAUGACUUAAUCAAUUUGCAAACUUUCUUUUCUUGACCUUUGACAAUAAAACCUUCAGGUUGUUCCAUAUAAAUUUCUUCGUCUAAUUCACCAUUUAGAAAUGCAGUCUUGACAUCCAUUUGAUGUAUCUUGAGAUUGUGUACGGACGUUAUAGCUAUUAAUAACCUUAUAGAUGUUAUUCUAGCUACUAGUGAAUAAGUGUCAAAGUAGUCAAGUCCUUCUUUUUGACGAUAUCCUUUGGCAACUAGAUGAGCUUUAUACUUGUCUAUGGUACCAUCCGGUCUCAAUUUCCUUUUGAAAAUCCAUUUAUGUCCUAUUGGUUUAUUUUCAGGAGGCAAAUUAACCAAUUCCCAUGUAUUAUUUUGCAUGAUGGAUUCCAUUUCACUUUGAAUAGCUUCUUUCCAAUAAGGCGCUUCAGAGGAUUCUAAAGCAGCCUUAUAAGUUUGAGGCUCGUCUUCGGUUAUAAAAGUGAGGAAAUCAGGACCAAAAUCCUUUGCAAUCUUUGCUCUUUUACUAUUCCGUGGUUCCAAAUCUUGACUUUGAACUCUAGAAGUUGAAGCAUGAUUUUCGUCAUCAUUUCUUGUAUUAUCAUAAUGUACUCUUUUGUUCAAUACAUAUGACCUAUCUUUAUAAGGAAAAAUUUCCUCAAAGAACUCAGCUUCGACAGAUUCAAGUAUUGUAUUUACAUGAAUGUCUGCAAUUUCAGAUUUAUGAACCAAAAAUCUAUAUGCCGAACUAUUAUUGGCAUGACCAAUAAAUAUACAAUCCACUGUUUUUGGUCCAAGUUUUUGUCUCUUCGGAAGAGGCACUUGAACUUUUGCAAGACAACCCCACACUUUCAAGGUUUUGUAUGUAGGUAACCUACUUUUCCAGAUUUCAUAAGGAGAUUGAUUGGUCUUCUUAUGUGGAAUUCGGUUCAAAAUCGUAUUUGCAGCAAGGAGUGCCUCACCCCAUAAAUUAUGUGGUGCUCCAGAACUGUUCAACAUGGAAUUAAUCAUAUCCUUCAAUGUACGAUUUUUCUGUUCAGCCACUCCAUUUUGUUGAGGAGUAUAUGGGGAUGUGGUUUGAUGUAUUAUUCCAUGUGUUGAACAAAAUUCUGCAAAGUCAUUAGAUUCGUAUUCACCACCUCUAUCCGAUCUUAAGACUUUUAUUCUUUUGUUUAGUUGAUUUUCGACUUCGGUUUUAAAUGUCUUAAACAUGUUUAAAGCUUCAUCUUUGCUAUGAAUCAAAUAGACAUAACAGAAUUUGCUGCAAUCAUCAAUGAAGGAAAUAUAGUAGUUCUUUCCUCCACGAGUUGGUGUGGAUUUGAAAUCACAAAGAUCACUAUGGAUUAAACCAAGUAUUUCGUUGGAUUUUUCCACUGAUUUAUAAGAGUGUCUUGCAUAUUUGGAUUCUGUGCAUAUCUCACAUUUAAAUACUUUGUUCGUAGAGCAUUUUGGCAAUAGGCCUAAGUUAACCAUUCUUUGAAGAGAACAAAAAUUAACAUGACCUAAUCUUGCAUGCCAUAAUGUAGAUGACUCAAUCAAGUAAGCAGAAGAAGCACUAGGCUUGUUAUUGUUAAUAAUAGCAUCAACAGAAAGUACAUUCAAUUUAAAGAGCCCCUCAUAUAGGUAGCCAUUUCCCACAUACAUCCCACCCUUGGUGAUUACAAACUUAUCAGAUUCGAAGACUUUUUUUAAACCCUUGCUACUUAGAAGCGAUCCAGAAAUCAGAUUCUUGCGAAUAUUAGGAACAUGCAGAACAUUGGUGAGUGACAACUCUUUUCCAAAAGUGAGUUUGAGUGUCACUUUUCCUUUCCCUGCAACGGUAGAUGCAGUUGCAUUCCCCAUGUACAGAUUUUCUCCACCAUCAACAGAUUGGUAAGUAACAAAUAAAUUUUGAUCAGCACACACAUGCCUUGUUGCUCCUGUAUCAACCCACCAGUCAUUGGAAUUUGUCAAUAAAUUGACUUCAGACACAACAGCAACAAACUUAUCUUCUGCAACGUUUGCUUGAUUGGAAUUCUCAGAAUUCUGAUCCUUUUUCUGGCGGCAAUCCUUUGCCCUAUGUCCUGUCUUUCCACGAACCCAGCAACCUCCUUUGAUUUUCUUGAAGGUUUUCCCUUUCACAGCAGUUAGUGUUUUCUUUGCAGUAGUAUCAUUGCCUUUAUUUUUCUGAUGGUGCAUUGCCUUGUGUGAGGCACUUCCUUCCACAACAUUGGCUUUUGCCUCCAGCGAUGAGACAUCAUACUUCUCAUUUUUGCGAUGAUCCUCCUCCACCCGCAAUUUGAGAAUCAAUUGAUCCAUGCUCAUGUCUUCAGUUAGAUGUUUAAGAUAAAUCUUAAAGUCUUUCCAAUUCGAAGGCAGUUUCUCUAUAAUAGAGCCAACCACAAAACCUUCUUUCAGACCAAGAUUUUCUUCAUCUAACUCAUGAACAAUCACUUGGAGUUCUUCAACUUGCUUGACAACAGACUUUGUGUCACUCAUCUUGUAAUUCAGAAAUUUUCCAAUUACAAACUUCUUGGAACUUGCCACUUCGGACUUAUACUUCUUAUCCAGAGACUCCCACAGAUCUUUCACUGUCUUAUAUGAUGAAUAAACAUCAAACAGAGAGUCAUCUAAAGCAUUCAGAAUGUAGUUCCUGCAUAGAAAUUCACUGUGAGUCCAGGCUUUUAUAGCCUGCAGAAUUUCGGCAGGAAUAUCUCCCUCUUCUGGUGCUUUGGGGGACUCAGAAAUAAUCACAUGACUCAAGUUCAGAGUUGUUAAGUAGAACAACAUCUUUUACUGCCAACGUUUGAAAUCAACUCCCUUGAACUUUUCAGGUUCUCAACGUGUUGCUUAACGACACCAACAUUUGAUUGAUCCAUGGUUACACAAAGAUAUUUCUGUCUUAGAUUGUUAGAACAAAUCAAAUGUCAAGUGUAUAAUAUAUAACAACUGCACAGUUUAUCUUGAAUGGAAAUUUCACAAAGAUACGAUAUAUCUUACAAUAUGAACAAUUUAAUGAAUUUGAAUAACAAAUCACAAAAACACACUGACUUAUUUUCGGAAGAUAGAGGCUUGCAGAGCGAUCUCCUAAGACAAAAAUAUGCCCCUACACCAGUGCAGUAGUUCAAAUGACGUCUAUCUUGCAGGAUACAACUAUCUAAUCCAAGUUCUUGGACAAGAACUUGGAUGGCGAAUUUGUUGUGAUGGUUCUCUGUGAAGUAUAAAAGGAAAUGAUGGAAAAUUAUUUCUUGUUUCUGAUCUGAUGGCCAUAUUUAUAAUGGCGUAAUGGAGCAGUUGAAGCCAUUUUUAGAACGGUUGUAACUGUUCGUCAUCAGUUUUAUCCUUUCGAAAAAUAACUGGAUGCAAAAAUCAAAAAUGUAAAAAAUUAAACUUGUGUUUUCGUCAAUCCGAGCCCAAGAGCCCCAAGGCCCAAGGCCCAUCUUUGACGUUUAAUCUAUACACCCAAACCUCCAUUUGUAAGGCCCAAGGUCCAUAGCUUUGGCCCAAUUCUUUUCAAACCAUAAAGGAGGGAAAAUACUUAUAAAGUGGACUUCCACCAUGUGUUUGGGCAAUGUGGGACUAAGUCCCACUCACAAGUUCCAACACAAUGUUGUUCCUUUGAAGUCUAAGCAAGGAAAUACACCAGAGCCUACGGUGUUUGGCUUUAUUAAAUUGCACGAAACGAUAAUUGAUCUUAUUUUUAGUUGAUCAGUGUGACUAAAUGUUAAUACUGUAUAUGUUUGGUUCAUUGAUAUAUUAUUUGUCGUUGAAUGAAGAAUUGUGGUUGGAAGACAUUAUGAUAUAUGUGAGAUGAAAUGACAAUCCUAAUUGUUAUAUGGUCAUUAAGUAGUCUAGAAUUUACUGAAUCAUGUUUGUCGAGUUCCAUGGAAUGAUUCUGAAACUCUAUACUUUCUGCUAGUUAAUGUCAUGAGAAAGUUUUGAUUAGGGAACUACGAAUGACUUGAUCUCGUCUUAGAGUACGUCAGCAAUCUAACUCAAAGGUUAAAUGCAUCUAUGAAUUAAAGUAAAUAUUACUACGGUGUUAAAUUAAUGGUUGUGUCAACACUUCACUUAUGAGACAGUUGGUUUUGUUUAUUAUGUGCUUUGUGUAUGUAGUUUGUUAAAGUUUUGAAUUUAGCUUGAAAUUUGGGGGUUGUCCGGUUACGUAUCGAUCUUGGACGUAUCUCGAGAUUAGAGUGUGGCAGUAAGUCUUAGAAUAUCUGAAAGUUAGAGAUAAAAUAACACAUAAGGCAUAAGAUGUUUCACGUAAUGAAAGUAUAGAGAAUGAUAGAGGUAUAAAAUGUGGCACAUAAUUUUUUUCACUUUAUACCCGUUAUUUUCAAGAGUAACUUCACACAAUCUUGAAUUGAUAGUUAAAUAAAUCUAAGCGUAGUGCUUGGUGUGUUGAUUUUUUUUUUUUUUUUUUGAAAGGGAUUAGCCAAUUCCUUAUAAAUAUGUCUUUUUAGCUUAUAAAUAUAUUUAAAAAAUUCAAUACAUUUUUCAUACUAGAAAUUUAUAGUAUGUAUGGGUGCAACUGGGGUGGGUUGGAUGAUCAACCUAACUCUGGCACAACCUUCACAAUUCAGGUUUAAAUUGGAUUCAGGUUCAUAAUUUUGAAUGAUUUUUCAUAUUUUGAAAACAGCGUCAAUAUUAAUUAAACUUUUAUUUACACAUCAUAUGUGACAUCCCAUCCCAAAUUUUAGGUUUUUACAAAUUUUAAAAGCGUGAAUUGAUGAAAAUGCCCUAGAGGCAAGGACUUUGACUUCCGUUGACCCUCGUUUAGAGAAACGUAUAACCUAUUCUUUUAGCGUAUUUAAGUAAUACUCGUCACUAAAAACACAUAGGCGAAAGCUGUUUACGAGUCCGGAUUAUAACGGUAUAGUUAUGGACGUUCGAAAUUGGUUAUUUAAAGUUUAGUUAUAAAUUAAUUCAAACUCCCACCAUGUGGGAGUGGUAACCAAUCAGAUUUAAGCAAGAAAAUAAGGGACCAAUCAGAAAAAGAAAGGGAGGACCAAUCAAAAAUUGAGGAGAUGAGAGAGAGAGAAGCUCCCAGCUCCCUCAAAACCACACCCACACCCAUUGCGACCACCUAUCUUCCAAGGUUGAUUUCGGCCAACUCCGAUGGAAUUUUUCGAUGUCACCACCGCCAUCUUGAAGCUCUCAUUCCCCUCUACAAAACCCACCCAAGAACCACCUUGAUUAACCACGGUAUGUGGCGGUUUGAGGCCACGAAAGUCGACAAAAAUCAACGGUGCUCAGCUACUUUUUUCAAUAUUCCGGAAAAUCGGCAAAGCGAUGGCCGAUCCCACCACUUGGGCUUUGUAACCCAUCAUCCCAGGAGAAAAUCCCAACCAACCUUGACCCCGUUGGACCACCGUAGACGACGAAUCGACGCCGGGAAACUUUAGGCACCCGCCGGCUUUGUGAACAAAAUUGAUCACCUUCCGUCCACUUUUGGACUUCGUGGCAGGUAUAAAAGUUUCUUUACUCAUUGAGAUCUUCAUUUUUGUGAAGUUUGAGAAUUUUUGGAAAUAGUUGGAUUUUCCAAAGAGUUGGAGCGGCCGACCAUCACCCGCGGCAGCACAUGCUGCGACGCGUGAUGCAGGGACCGUCAAUGUUAUUCUUAGGCUAAAUUAGAUGCCUUGAGUUCAUUUUUGGUAAUUGUAUAACGUAGGUUGAUCGUUUGGACCUAAAUUCAUUAAGAUAUGUUACUUGGUAAAAAUAUGAAUCGACGAUCCGACCAUUGGAUUGUCACCAAACUUUAAUAUGUUAUAAUACGUAAUAUUUGAGGACCAUAGGAACUUACGGAUUAGGAAUCUGAUAUACGGAUCUUCCCGAAUUGGAUUCAUAAGUUCAUAAAAUAAAAGGUUAACCGCCACUUGGUUUUGGCAAUUGGCGGAAAUCCGAUCGUUGGAUCGUAAUGGGACUUUAGGAUGUUGCUCUAGAAGUAUAAUAUGGAUCUUUUUGAAGUAACGAUUUGGAAAUCCAUGAUGCAGAUCUUCCGAAUUGAAUUACAUAGAGAUGCGUUUUAUGUAAAUUAUGUAUUUUAUCGGUAUGAAUUAUGAGAUGUGAUUUGAUAAUUGGUCAUAGGCAACGAUGGUUCGUGAUGUCUCGAUAUGCGUUAUAAGGAGUCGUAGCGAGGAUCUCAGGUGAGUGGGUCUUUUCCUUUCUAUCGUAUAUAUUAUAUAUACGAUUGACAAUUCCACGAACGCUUAUAAAUUGAUUAUUGCAUAUAACUAAUGUGAAUGCUUUGAAGUACUAAAGUGAACUACGAAUGGCUUGAUCCCUGUUUAGGGUACGUAGGUAGUCUAACGAGACAUUAGAUGUAGCCAUACAAUAAUUUAGACAAUAGCCUUGUUUAGGGAAUUGAGUAAUGUGAGGGACAUUGGUGGAAAAUGUGAGAUUUAACUUUAUGAUUUGGUAGUUAAAUGUUGGUCAUAAAUCAAUGUGUGAAGAAUCAAGAACUUGAAGUAAGGAAACGUAAGUAAUGAUAGUUAAUUAAACUAGUGUCUUGUUGGGCUUAUCACCGAUAACUAUUCCCGAAAAUAAAUAGUUCGGGAGUAAGGCGUUACAACUUAUGCAUUUUUAUGCCACAUUAUAUAUAUAUAUAUAUAUAUAUAUAUAUAUAUGUAUAUAAUUGAAAAUGAUAUAACAUGGUUGAGUAUCAGAUUGCAUCAUGGUUUAUCUAUAUGUAUAUUACCUGCACACAAUUAUUAUGAAAGCUUGAAGUGCAAAGGUGAACGCAGGACACCCAGGUAAGUUCAGGUGAGUUUACGGUAUUAGUUGAAAUGAUGGGGUUAUGGUAAGACUACAUGUAUGUUUAAGUAACUCCGACCUUGUCGUAUAGGUUGCAAUGAUAGGCAACUUCGACACUGUCAUACAGGUUGCCCAUGAAUUUUAUAUGUUACAAUAGAUACCGUUAGAGCUCAUAAACCUGCACCCCGGUGUUAAUGCUCCCGCCUGUGGCCAAGGCACAGUCAUUCACGUGAUGUUCACCUCCCGCCAUGGAAUUAAAUAUCGAUAUUAUCGGCGAAAUAUCGCCGAUAAUAUCGUUAUUUUCACAUAGCGAUAUUUUCAACGUUUACAGUUAAUUAUCGUAAUAAUAUCACGAUAAUAUCACUAAUAUCGAUAAUAUCGCGAUAUUAGCGAUAUAUCGCGAUAUUAACCAUAAUAUCGCCGAGGAUCCUCCGUCGUCGUCACAACGGCAGCCGAAAAUGAGCAAUCCAUGCUCAGACCCUGAAAAUGAGCAAUCCUCUCUCUGCAAUCCACGCUCAGACCCUAAAAAUGAGCAAUCCCUUUCUCCAGAUCCCAAAACCCGCUCGGAUUUGAUGAGGGGGAUAACCGGAGAAGGAUCGAGAGACUGAGGGAGAAGAAGAAGGAUGGAGAGACUGAGGGAGAAGGAUCGAAAUCGAGGCUGAGGGAGAAGGAUGGAAGGAUGGACGGACAGAGAGACUGAGGGAGAGAAGGAUCGAGAUCGAGGCUGAGGGAGAAGGAUGGACGGAAGGCGGAGGGAGAAGGAUGGACGGACGACGGAGAGACUGAGGGUGAGAAGGAUCGAGAUCGAGGCUGAGGGAGAAGGAUGGACGGACGACGAAGAGACUGAGGGAGAUAAGGAGAGACUGCGUGUGUGGUGUGUGGUGUGUGCGUGUGUGGUGUGUGCGGUAUGCAUGUGUUGCAGAGAAAAGAUGGGGGGCAGAAGAAGAAACAAGGAGACUGUGGGAGAAGGAUCGAGAGAGCCCUGCACGAAUCCCUCUACGUUUCUAAAAGAUAAUUAAAUAUGAGGAAAUUGUGAGAUCUGACAUGUGGCUAGAAAUGCCGUGUGAAAGUUUCCAAUAUUGCACAUGUAUAUAUUAUUGUCAGUUUUUCUCUUACUUUUCAAAUUGUUUAUUCCACAUUUGUUAAUUUCAUUAUAUAUAAAUGAUUUUGGUGUGUUUAAAUUUUUUUCAUUAAUUACUACAUAUUUUCUACAUUCACAAUGUUUGCCAGCUCGCUAUAUUAUCAACUUAAAUCAAUUAAAUUCAUCAUGCAAUGCAUUUCCUUCCAAUUUUUUGUGAUAAACUAAUAGAUAAUUGACUAAAUAAACAUCCUGCAAAGUUUCAAUAAAAAUUUCCAAGUUUUUCUUACAAUUUCCGUGGUUUCCAUGUAAUUUUUAUCGAUAUCGAUAUUAUCCCGAUAUUUUCAUCGAUAUUUCCGUGUUUUCGGACUACCGAUAUUUCCGAUAUUACCGAUAUUUUCUUCCUUGCCUCCCGCACCUUACGCUCACCUUGGAUCCAAGGUAGGUGCACAGUCCUGUCAUACAGAUCACUAUAGGUGGUUCCGACUUGUAGGUGACCCACGAUUAUUCAAUUAGUCUUCACGUGAUCGUAGCACUUGAGCGUAUUUAUUUACACCCAGUCCUAUCAUACAGACCACUUUAAGUGGUUCUGACUCGUGUGCAGGUAUACUUAUUGAGCUAUGGAUAAGUCGUACAUGUCAUUAGAGGUGACUCCGAAUUAUGAACUAGCAUAUGUGAUGAAAUAUGUUGAUAUGUUAUGAGCUAGCAUAUGUGAUGAGAUAUGUUAUGAGCUAGCAUAUGUGAUGAAAUAUGUUAUGAGCUAGCAUAUGUGAUGAAAUAUGUGAUGAGCUAGCAUAUGUGAUGAAAUAUGUGAUGAGUUAGCAAAUGUGAUGAAAUAUGUUAUGAGCUAGCAUAUUUGAUGAAAUAUGUUAUGAGCUAGCAUAUGUGAUGAAAUAUGUGAUGAGCUAGCAUAUGUGAUGAGAUAUGUGAUGAGCUAGUAAAUGUGAUGAUAUAUGUUAUGAACUAGCAAAUGUGAUAAAAUAUGUUAUGAGCUAGCAUAUGUGAUGAAAUAUGUGAUGAGCUAGCAAAUGUGAUGAAAUAUGUUAUGAGCUAGCAUAUGUGAUGAAAUAUGUGAUGAGCUAGUAUAUGUGAUGAAAUCACAUAUGUUAUGAUCUAGCAUAUGUGAUGAAAUAUGUUAUGAGCUAGCAUAUGUGAUGAGAUAUGUGAUGAGCUAUGGAAAAGUCGUACGUGUCACUAUAGGUGACUCCAACUUAUAUGCUAGCGUUGAUUGACGAGAUAUGGAUAAGUCGUACAUGUCACGUGCGGUGACUCCGACUAGUAUGAUUGAUAAGCUAUUAAUUCAGCCGUACAGGUCACGUGAGGUGACUCCGGCUGGCAUACCAUUUCAUAUUGAUUUAUUUCACAUGGAUUACUUAUUCUUGUUGAGAUAUUUGACACGGCAUAACCGUGAGACUGUUAUUUUGGUUAUGGUUUUGAGUUAUGGUCACACCUGUUAUUUUCUGGGAAAUUAUAUAGGUGUUACGGCAAGGGGCUACUGCCUUUGGUAAUUGAAAUUGGUUUGAAAAGUUUUGUUUCACUCACUCACAUUUUCUAUUUUUGCACCCCUCCAGGAUCUAGCAGCAGAGUUCUGUAUCGAUGAGGAUUCGUGGCACUUUUUAGUAUAGAUGUCUUCUUAUGAUGGUAUAACCAUGAUCUUACUUUACUGUACUAUACCUAUGCUCUGUAUCACGCGUGAAAUGGGUUCAUUUCUGCUCACGGUGCACUCUGGUAUUUAGGCACUCUUAGGUUCAAAUUUAUUCAUAUUUUUCCACAUCAUCACUCUAUGGCUUCGUUACUUUUCAGAUGUCACCCAUCACAGCUCGAUUCGAAGUCCUUAUGGACAUUUCGGGUCCGGGUGUGUCAUCAUAAUCCACACAAAAGUUAAAUCAAAUAACUUGGAGACUAUUUUUAAUGUUUCAACCAUGCAAAUGUAAUUACAAGACGAAUUCCAAAUCUUCAACUAAAAGAAAUGUAAAAGUUCAUUAUCCAUAUGAAAAAUCAACAAUUAGCUUCCAAGUAUUAUCAUUCCAAACUUAUACUUAACUUAUAUAAUAUGAAGUGAGAUGAGUAAUAUAUGUAUUAGCAAGUUCGAACACAAAAUUGGGUUGAGUUUGCAUUGACAUGGGCGGCAAGGCAUCAACUCAACCCAACCUAAUAAAUGAUCGGGUUGAGGUUAAGUUGGAUCUUAGCGCGUUUUUUCUUCAUUCUAACCGUCUCGAUCGCUUUUGAAAUCGAAUUGGAUGUAGAUAGAUUGGGUAUGAUAUAGGAAAAAAUUAAUAGGCAUAAAGGAAUAGGCGUGUAAUGGACCCCGUAAUCAAAGUUACUUUCUCAUUCUUUUUAGGCAUUUUAGAUUACGGUUCACAUACGCAAAAGAGUCAAGAUUAAGACACUAAUGAGAUAAGAUUAACAAAAAAAAAAAAAAAAAAAAAAGAGGGAGAAACGAAAAGAAAAAUGAAAGAGAAACGUAAAUCGUAAAUGCUCAGAGAAAGACCGUGCACUACGCGUUUGGUGACCUCAAAGACUGGCACCUGUUCGGAAGUGGGAAGGAAGCUUUUGCAAGUUUAAAACUAGUUUGGAUAAACAGCAUCCUACCAUUCUCUAUAAAUAAAUAUUAAAUUCUGUUAAAAAAAUAAAAUAAAAUUACGACCGCGUUUAGAGUAAUCUUAUAUCAUUUUCAAAGAAGAAAGGAGGAUUCUCUCCACUCCUAAUUUCUCUCUCAUUCCAUCUCCUUUUAUUUAAACGGUUAUGAUUAAUCCACGUCAAUAUCGGUAUUGAUUUUUUUUUAUAGAUAAAGUGAGUAAUAGAAAACUGUGAAAGGAGGAGAAUGAAGGAGAUGAGAAUAGAAGGAGAGAGAAUCUUACUCCCCAAAGGUGAUGUCAAAUUUCAAAUACUAAAUUUAAAUUUGAAGGCUUAUGAGGCAUAUUGAUCUUUUUGUAAAUUUUGUUCACCACUUGAUAUGUCAAAUUUAAACUAUGAUUAUUUUUAUUCUUUACUUUUCAUAAUUGUAGUUAGUAUUUUUAAAACAAAAGAUAAUAAUAAAAAUUAUAAAAAUAUUUAAUACCCACUAAAAAUAAAUUUGAAGUUGGUGUCAAAUUUGAUAGCAACUCCCUCUCCUGUCAUUCCAUGUCAUGCCAAAUAGGAAUUGACAUCUCGAUUGGAAACCACUAGUGCUGCCUUCCUUUUUUUUACCGUUAUUGCUUAUGUGGACUUUUUAACAUCUCUUUGGAUAUACUCUUAGAAUAUUUUCAAAUGAGAUGUCAAAUUCAAAACAUUAAAUUUAAAUUUGAUGGCUGACUUGGCAAUUUGAAAUAUAGUCAAUAUUUUUCCUUCCACCUGAUAUGCAAAAAAUUAUUGCUUCAUUUAUGUCUUUUAAAACAAAAAUAAUAAAAGUGGAGUUGUUAUUGGUUUAAAAACUAUAAAAUAAUAUUUAAAUAUGCUAGUAUUUAAGGUAACGCAAGUGGAACGCCUUUAGAAAUAGCAAAAACCAUAUUUGAAGGCAGCUUCAAUUUUGUUAUCUCUUUGUCUAUGUCAGCUUAGCAUUCUUUUCCAUGUCAAUUUUAAUAUUUCGGUUUGAGUAAAUGAUAAGUUUUGACAUAUCUUUGGAGAUACUCUUAGAAUAUUUUCAAAUGAGAUGUCAUAUUCAAAACAUUAAAUUUAAAUUUGAUGGCUGACUUGGCAAUUUAACAUAUUGUCAAUAGUUUUCCUUCCACCCGAUCUGCAAAAUUUUUUUGCUUCAUUUAUGUCUUUUAAAACAAAAAUAGUAAAAGUUGAGUUGUUAUUGGUUUAAAAAUUAUAAAAUAAUAUUUAAAUAUGUUAGUAUUUAAGGUAACGCAAGUGGAAUGCCUUUGGAAAUAGCAAAAACCAUAUUUGAAGGCAGCUUCAAUUUUGUUAUCUCUUUGUCCAUGUUAGCUUAGCAUUCUUUUCCAUGUCAAUUUUAACAUUUUGGUUUGAGUAAAUGGUAUGUCAUUUGUUAUUAAUUUAUGUCUUUAUGUCAGAUGAUCUAACAUUUUACUUAUCAUUAUUUUAUUAUUAUUAAAAGUGAUUAAUAAUAACGUAAAUAGAGGUUACGUCGGUAUCCGGUAAAUUUGUGGGCAGUCCAGACAAUUUCUCCUCCUCUUAUUUCUGCAAACAACGCACCCAACCGCAUUAUUCAUCUUUUUCUCCUUCCUGCCUCAAUAGCACCUCUCUCUCUCUCUCUCUCUCUCUCUCUCUCUCUCUCUCUCUCUCUAAAAGUUUGUUCCUUUUGCAGAACCAGCCCUUCAUCGACUUCAAAGGUAUGACUUUUCCUUCAUUUUCUUAAGCUCUUUCGGUUUCCCGAGCUUGAUCGUCGUUUUAUUGUUUCUGCACGAUUUUCUAUAAUUUUUUUCACUUUUUUAUUUUUUAUAAAAUUUUUGAGGUCCGAUCAUCGUUUUCUCGAUCAAUUCCCGUUCUACGUUUCUGAUCAUCCUGUUUGAUACUCUUUGUUGUUGUUGUCGUGCUGUUUCCGGCCUCUUAUCGAUGAGGUUUGCUUGUUUGAUGGUGCUGCUUUAUAAAAUUAUAUAUAUAUAUAUAUAUAUAUAUAUAUUAUGUAUGUAUGUAUGUAUGUAUGUAUCUGUCUUUCCUCUAUUUAGGAAUUUGUGAUUUUUGGGUUAGUUUUAGUUUGUGUUAAUGUGGAUGCUGUAUUGUGUAAAAUGGAGCUGUGAAUUGUGGUUGUUUGGUUUAAUUCUGUUGUAUAAUUGUUGUAGCAUGUAUAUAAUGAACCCGGGCGGGUGGAUGAUACGAUGAUCAUUAUAUUAGUGGUGGUGAUUGCGAUCAUAAAUCACUUCUCCCCGGUAAUUAGUUAUUCAGGGGAAGUGAUUUUUAUCUAUAACUAACAUCAGGGUCUCACCUACUGUUUCAUAGAGAUUUACCUCCCCUGGGGUUUAGUUUCAACCGAGGUUUGCUUGGUGGAUUUGAGGGUUUUUAGAUAAUAAAUUGUCACUCUGAAUUACCUUUAGCAUCGGCUAGGUUUAGACCGUUCUUAUUAUGCAGGUUUUGGUGUGCUGGUGGUGUAUUAUUAUUGAAUGCUUGUAUUGAGUUCGACUCGAGAAGAACAUUAGUACCUGAGUUCUGAAGGUGAUAUGACUGCACCUGCAGGUGAGAGUUUCUUAGAGUCAUAUCUUUCUAAGGUUUACAGUUCAGUAAAGUGGUCAUGUUUCUUCUUACUUCUCAUGUCAUGCCUUACUAUAGCUCUCUAAAUAAAUAUUCGCAUUUGACGUCUUACGUUAGUUGGCAAUUUGGGGGGUUGGGGUGGGGGGGUGGGGGGUUGUUUUGGUGUGUAGUUCCUUUCAUGCUCUGAAUUAUGAAUGGUGUUGCAGGGAAUUUUUGAUCAAUUGGUCUUCUAUAAAAAGCAUCUCAAUUGAAGCCUCGUCUUUUCUUCAGGAUUUAUUGGCACGAUCUGCUGCCAUUUUAUGAGAGCCUAAGUCAGUUGUAGUAUUGUGAGAGCACAGUAUAUACUAACUGCUAAAGACUCCAUUUUUACUUUCUCAGAUAGUAAGAAACUGGAAUUCUCUUUAACUGGGUCUAACCACCUGAGCUAGUGGAGGCCAGACUUGAGAUAGAAAAAAAAUGUAGCCUUGACAGUGAUAGUGUCAUGGUUGUUAGAUUGAUAAUUCUUGGCCCUUUGUUUAGUGAUGGGAAAUGUCAGACUGAGGUGACGGAGAGGUUGGCUAUAAUAUAAUGCCAUGGGAAAAUUCAAUUGACUUUGUAAAGUUCCUUUGGUCAAUUCAUUCUUCUCAUUUUUCCUAGUAUUUGGAGUUACCUUUGUGAUGUUGCUGUACGUUGGUGCCAAAUAGAGCAGUGAGCUGAUGGAUAUACUGGAUAUACUGAUGAUUGUGUGCUUAGGAGGUGUCAAUGAAUGGAGAGAAUGCUGACCAGCUUUUGAUACAUUGAUACAUGCCAUCUCUGGAGAAUCUUGAGCUCAGGUGACUGGACUGAACCAUGCAGUUUGGUUUGCAUAUUGAACUUUUGGAUCUAGUGCCACUUAUCAUUACCCUUGUGGUGGAUGAUUUGCCCGUGAGUAAUGGGCAAUCAUCACUGAGAACUCUGAGGAGCUGAUGUUUGUAUCACUGAUACACAGACACACAGACCUUGGUGUAGGCUAACAGGGUGGAGGGAGUAGUUGGGGUGUUUCGACUUUUCUUAUACUUGUCUUACCUGGAUGGGAGGCAGUGGGCUGCUAGCUCAUAAUUGGUGGUUUGGGUUUCUUCAGAUUGGCGUAGGUUAUGCACCCUCGACUCUUGUACAGCUUCUUUGCUGUGCUUCCACGCAAAGAAGAGUUUCCAGAUUUGAGAUUAUGAGAAUAUCUUGGCUGCUUCUUACGACAUCAUCUUGCCGACGAGCCUCUCUGCAGAGAGAGUAUUACAAAUACUAAUGUCGUGCUUCUUUCUUCUGAGAUCUCCAAUCCUACAGUUUAGGGUGCAAGUAUACCUCUAUGUGUACUCUAUAGCUUCAAUUGUAAACUGUCUCAAGAUGUGUAUGAUAUGAAGACAACACCCUUAAGUCUUCAGACGAAGAUUCUCUUCAUAUUGGGCAAUGGAUUUUAUUAGUGUAGAAACUUGUUGUAGACAGAGAAGGCUCCAGGUUUAAGAAAUACAUACAUUUUAUGGUUAUACUAACCUGAUCUUACUGUCUCCAAAGACGCUUCCAUUUAUUUUACUUUUUUCAUCUCUACUUAUUUUGUAACAUAUGAAUUGUACCUUUCAUUUAUAAAUAUUUACAGCUUUUAUCUGGAACAGUUCCUACCUUUAACCUUGAUGAGAGCAUCUUUUUAAAUAUCUUUAGGGCUGAAAGUAUUAAGAACUGUGCCUUUUUUUUUUCAGAAUUUGGAGGCGAGGGGGACAUCUGGUAGUGGGUUUUCUGGUCUUAGUUUGUCUAUUUUAAAAUUCUACUAUUGAUAUUUGAAUGGCAAGAAGUAGUUUAAGUCAAUAUUAGUGUGAUAUUGAGAUUGUUACAUCUUUACACCCUCUAGGUGAUUUCUAAUCCUGUGAUUCAAAGUCCAAACACAGGUAAUAUCUUCAAGGAAGGUCCUGUUUCCAUCUUUCCGCAUCUCACUUUCAGCUAAUUGUUUCUUUACACUUUCCAUUCUUAUUUAUUAUCCCUCAGAAAAAAUGGCUCUCCCCAUUAUCAAUGAAAUGCUGUCUUAUUGGAGAUGAAUGCGAGAGGGAGUUGGUUGACAAUGACAUAGGGUGCUAGUGGGUGUGCAACUAGGAUUUGAAGGAUCUUUUCCCAGCACAAUUGUUUUAAACAGAACAAAUCUUGACUUUUAAUUCAGUAUUGGCCUUGAAUGGACCAGAGAUUGGUGGGUCAAAGUGUGAAAGCAUAUUUAUAGGCGGGACGCUAUUGGUCGAGCUAUUUGGUGAUGUUGUGGCAUAUACUUCAUACUUAGUCAAACUAUUUUGAAAAUUUUCAAUUGGCAUGUGAGGCCAGAACUUGUUUCAAUAAACUGCACUUUUCUUUGCCCAUCUCUGGAAGUUAAAUUUAUCUUGCAUUUGCCUAUGUGUUGGUUGCCUUUUUCGUUUGUUUUGAUGACCAGUUUUAAUUUCUUUGAAACUGUCUGGCUUUGGUUUGAAUGUUCUUUUCUUUAAAUUAUUUUCUACGAGAAUGCUGACUUCUUUCUCCCAUCUACACUCUGAGUGUUUAGAAAGGUUUUAAUUAUUACAAGCAAUACUUCUGUAAUGGGUUACUUAUCAAGAGUUUAUGGUUAAUACUUCUAACUUCUUACUAUAGUGGCCUGGAUGUGGGCCUCCAUGUGUUUUAAAUGGAAAAUGCUGAAAGAAGAGAAAUGCAUGCAUGAUUAACCUUCGAAAUAUCUAAUAAUGGUGACAUUUAGAGAUUUUUCUGGAUACAGCCUGAUUUGGGGUAAAGGCGGGCAGAAAUUAAUACUAAAAAGGUCGUACCCAGUGCACAAGGCUCCCGCUUUACGCAGGGUCUGGGAGAGGUAAAUGUCGGCUAGCCUUACCCCCAUUUAUGGAGAGGCUGCUCCCAAGUCUCGAACCCGAGACCUACCGCUCAUGGGCGCGGGCAGAAAUUAAUACUAAUAUCAAAUAAAUGAUUUUGUAUGGGUGGCAUUUAUUUAGAGGUAUCUAUAUUUGAAACCAAAGUUUUGAUGCAACGCACUUAGGUUGGUGUUGAAAUCUUGGUGUUAUAUUGUUGCCCCUCUUACUGCUCAGUGCUCGUACAACUUAAAUAUUUUUAUUCAGCUUCAUUGGUAUUUUGUGAUUUUCUUGUAAUCGUACAGGUCUUAUCAUCUUUGGUCAAUGGUUUUGAUCUUUUAGUCUUUUAUCUGUUUCUUCUAUCUUCUAACUUCAAACAUUUUGGUUACACACUACUUACACACAAAAUAUGUAAUAUUCCAUUAUUUGUGAAUACCAGCUUACAUUCACACAAGCAAUUACAAGUUUGGGGGAAGUUGUUAUGAGAAUAACAAAAGAAAGUAAAAAAAUUUUUUGCCUUUGUUUUGGAAUUAAGUAUGUAUGCAGCUUGGGGUAACCUGCAGCACCGCUGUCUUUCCUUUCUGAUGUUUGUCCAAUAUGAGUCCUUGAUGUGUAUUGUGACUCUCACAGUCUGAUUACUAACGAAGUUACUUUUCUACGUUUUGAGGAGCCUUUCCCGUUUUGUGCAGGUUGUGGUAUUAUUUAGUAGAUUCUGUUUCUAGCUCGUAACUUGUUCGUGGCUAUAAGCUGACGAAAGUUAUGGGGCAUAGACAUCAGUUCACCACAUCUCAUGUUUUUGAGAGUGAAAAUGAGCAGAAUUGGAAUCAUAUAAACACAGAACAACCUUUUGGGCAUUUGGGUACUGUCUUUAUUUUCCUUUAGUAUACUUAUCUUUUCCUUUUUGUCUUGCCUAUAAUUUGCAAACUCUCUUAUGUCAUUUGAGGUUUGAGUGUAUAAACCUUGAAUUUCUGAUCUGUGGAAUAUCUUUUGUAUUCAUGAUGAACUAUACCUGAUUUCGGACCUAAUACUGCAGGCUGGGAGGGCUCUGGGGAGAACAGUUCUUUCUUUUAUCCUGUAGAAAACAUGUGUAUAGAUGGAAUGCCUUUUGCUUCAAAUUGGAACCCGGCUCCGAGGUCAUAUGGGUACUCUUCCAUGAACCACAAUGUUGAUGUAUUUUCAACCUGAUGCUUCAGGUCCAUCUCAUGACCCUUUUCAGCAUCCAGUAAGUGCUGGUACCUUUGGCAUGGCCAGUGGGAACUAUGCUCACCAUGCACCUUCUUCUAGUUAUGACCAGUGUCCAUUCCUUGGUGUUGAGGGUGGUUUUGUUGAUCUCACAAUGAGCAACGGAAGGGGUCCUCAUAAGAGAAAAAGCCCAGGGAUCCCUUCUGUAUCUGAGAGAGGAAGCACCAGCAGACACUAUAGUGCUGGAAGUAGUUCCUCUGAGCUCCCUAGGUCUGCAGAAUUACAGCAUGAGAAAGUAAACAUGGAUACCUCACACAUGCCUUGGGAUCACAUCUCUAUGAUCCCUAGCUAUAGAGGGAAUGGACUCUCAAUUAGGGGUGACGGAUCCAUGAGAAAUGUGAGAAGCCGGUCUGAACAUGAUUUGGAGUCCAAUCUAGCUAGGACACAUUUAUCGAGCAAUCCUUUGCAUACUUCUUAUCCUACAAGUCUCCCUAUUGACCAUUCUAGUACGAUCGAUCUCUCUGGUCAGGGUUCUACUCGUUUGACCAAUGAGUGGAACCAUAUUAGUGUGGCUCCUCAUGGAAGGGUUAUGGCUCCAGGUUAGUUUUUGGUUCAUCUGUUUCUUGUAUACAGGGUCACGUUAUUUUUUACUCAUUGAUUUCUUUUAAACUGCAGAUACAAGUGGUUUUGGUCAUGAUCCCAACCACUUCCUUUUGGGAAGUAGUGGUAAUGCUUCUGUGGAUAAUGGGUUAUACCAUCAUGAUUUCAUGUCGAGCAGAAGUACUGCUGUUCCUCAAAGUUAUCCUGGUGCCUUAGCCCAAACUGUAAGGGGUGUUCGCAGUACCUAUUCUCAAAGAUCUCCCCCAGCCUUCAGGGCUUCUUCAAGCAACUUGCGAUUGGGACAUGCAUCACAUUCAGAUGAAGGAUUGCAGCCGAUGCCAGAAAAUUACCCAAGACAUCCUAGGCCAGUGGCCUCUGUUGGGUGGCGUCAUAAUGACAGGAGUGGUAGGUUGAGGAUGUCUAAUAAUAGAUACCGAGUCCCUGAAGAGUCUGCUCUCCAGGACCGGUUUUCGUCUGAGGUAUGUAGUUCAACUGAUGCAUCUUAACAUAUUUUGCUAUAUUCAAGAAGUGUGCAGCUCCCUUGUAAUAGUUACAAAACACUUGUUUCUUUUCCCUAUCAGUGCAUACAAACUGUUGUGUACUUCCGAAUCUAACUGUUCGAGCUAGUUCCGAGCACGUAAAAUCUGAAAAUGCUAGCCUAUAAUUGUUGGGCAUUCUGUUUUAAUUCAAGCUCAUAUUUAGUCAGGUUCAUACAUCUGUAAGGACUGAUGGUAUUAACAUUGUUGAAAGCGAUCCAUGUGACUCUGGAAUAUAUGCUCUUAUGACACUUAUUUUAUUGUUAAUUAAAGCUUUGAAUUUUGAUAAAUCUAAAAAAAAAACUUAUGUACAGCGUAAACCUUGUUCGGUACUGAAAACAGGUGAGCCAAUUGUUGUUCAUUUACCACUGCAGGGAUUUAUGGCUGUGGAUCGCCCAGCUUUUCCUGGGUCGAGGAAUAUGCUUGAUCAUCAUAGAGACAUGAGGCUGGACAUAGACAACAUGAGUUAUGAGGUAACGUCAAUAUUCCUGUCUAUUAUAUUUCUUGAACUGUCUGAACAAAAAGGAACUCCUAGCACUAGGCGAAAGAAUAGGAAAUGCCUUUAUUUUUCUCUUCCUCUGACUUUCAUGUAUUCUGAAUUUCUCGAAAUGUCCGAACAAAUAGGAACUCCUCGCACUAAGCGAAAGGAUUGGGAAUGUCAGCACAGGCUUGUCUGAAGAUUUGAUACCGAAGUGUUUAACAGAAACAAUAUAUUGUUCAUCAGAUCAAAUCCAGGAUGAAGGUUCAUGUGCAAUUUGCCUGGUAAGAGUCUUCCACUUGAAACCGGAAAUUAUAAGAUUGCCGUUUCCAUUAGUGUGGUUUUAAUUUUAUCUUAGCGCUUUUUAGACCAAUUGGACUGUAAAUUGCUUAACUGCUGGAAAUCUAACUUGUAUAUAACCCGAUUGACAGGAAGAGUACAAUGACAGGGAUGAUGUUGGUGCAUUGAAAAGUUGCGGUCACGAUUACCAUGUGAGCUGCAUCAAGAAGUGGUUGUCAAUGAAAAAUUCUUGUCCAAUCUGCAAAGGUUGUGCUCUUCCUGAUAAUAUGAAGGAGAAAUAAUUUAAUCACGUCGUUAGCGCUUCAUUAUAUUACCAUUCUUGUAUAUAUAUUUAGAGAUAAUCCCGAAAACGGAAGAAACAAUACUUGUUUCGUAUUAUGUAAAGGGAGUGUUAGCCAAUUUAAAUUAAUUUGUUUCAGGCUUCCAUUUAAAUGUUGUGAAGCCUUUUUGCAAUUGUUGUUGUUCCGUAUAUGGCUCUAGUAUAUAGUUUUUUUUUCUUCUAAUUUUAUGAUUCCUUUUCAAAACUGAGAAGCUAGUUUAUGAUGGAAAGGGGAAAACCUUGAAAACAAAUUAUUUUUUCGGUUUUUAAUUUUUUGGGGAGGGGAGGCAGAUUCUCUGCCCUUCUACUUUUCGUGCCCUUUCAUGCUCUUUUGUUUGUGUGAUAAUCGUUAAAUCACGUUAACAUUUUAUAUUACUAAUCUUUUUUAUCUUAUUAUCUUUAUAAAAAAAUUAUAAAAUAUUAAUGUGAUUUAACCGUAACUACACAAAAUAAGAGGGUACGGAAGGUAGGAGGGCAGACAAUCUACCUCCUCACGCGCACCCUUUUGACCAUUCAAAAGGCCCCUGCACAUUUCUGUUCAUUGAUUUCUCUUUUUUGGGUUUUUUCAACGAAUGAUAUUAUUUACAUUAAGAGGAUAAAUAGUGUUUAGCCUCACAAUUGACUAGUAAUAAUGUUGUUCAAAUUUCUCCUUGGCGAAAAUCGAACUUAAGAUUUCUUUCUUGCCAAUAAAGAGAAAUACCACUAAAUCAUAGUAGUAGCUCACCUCCUUCUACUUGUAUACAACUUUUUAAAUUACUUUUCAAGUUAGUUUCAAGUACUUAUUUGGUAUUACUAUUUAUAAAAACUAAAGUCAAAAUUAACAUAUGAAUUUGGGAAUGAGGAUGGCACGCCCGAACUUGAUACUCUUAGUUGCCAUCCCUACUCUCUCCUCUUUCUCCCUCACUCUCCUUGAUAUUCUUCUCCCGUCUCUUCUCCGAUAUUCUUUCGCCAUUUUCUCUCUCUUCUCUUUGAAUUUCCAAGUUCGGAUAAUGUUACCCAUUACACUGUAGGAUGAGAUGUUUUUACUUUUCUAAUUGUUGUAUUUUGAAAACAAUUUUAAAUCACAUACAUAAACAAGUUUUUUAUUCUUUUAAGAAGUAUUCCUCAAAAAUGUUUUGAGGAAAGAUGUACCUUUUUAUAUAAGAUACCAAACAGCUUCUUAUUUUUGUCAUAUAAUUUCACAUUAAGAUGUACUAUUCACACAUCUUUUUAUUUCUCACAUAUUCCUUGUUAAUUUUUAUCCGUCGAUCUUCUUCAAUUUAUCAAACCCGAUACAUGAAAAUUAAAAAGGUGUGUGAAAGGCAAAAAAGUGUGUGAAUAUCAGAUCUCUUUAGUAAUCCAUUAGCAGGUCAUAUACGAUAUUGACGCGUGUAAUCCACAUAACCUGUCAACGUAGCAUUCUGCAAGUCCAAACAAAUUAGGAAUCCAAUUACCUUCACAAGCAAGGAAAGGGGCAACAAAAAUCCAAGAUAGAGCAGGUCACCUUCUCCCUCAUCAAAUAAAGAAAACUAAAAAUCAGAGGUCAACAAUUGUUGGCACUUGCCCACCUAGAAACAUCUGGGCCGUUCGUUUCACUGACUUUUCUGGUCCACGCGUUCCUCGUCCACUCCGGAAUCCAACCUAAAAAUGGGAUUUGAGUCGGCUCAUCCUCCCUAUAUAAACUCCUCACCCCCUCCACUCUUCCUCACAAUUCUCUCAACAAUUCUCGCCCAUCGUCCCCAAAUCUCUCUCAAAUCCCUAAUUUCUUUCGAAUUACAAAUCCCCAAUUUCUGAAACCAUGCAGAUCUUCGUGAAAACCCUCACCGGCAAGACCAUCACUCUCGAGGUUGAGAGUUCGGACACGAUCGACAACGUCAAGGCUAAGAUCCAGGACAAGGAGGGCAUUCCUCCCGACCAGCAGCGGUUGAUUUUCGCCGGAAAGCAGCUCGAGGACGGCCGGACCCUAGCGGAUUACAAUAUCCAGAAGGAAUCGACGCUCCAUCUGGUGCUUCGGUUGAGGGGAGGCAUGCAGAUUUUCGUUAAAACCCUAACCGGGAAGACGAUAACUUUGGAGGUCGAGAGUUCGGAUACGAUCGAUAACGUCAAGGCCAAGAUCCAGGAUAAGGAGGGUAUUCCUCCGGAUCAGCAGAGGCUUAUCUUCGCCGGCAAGCAAUUGGAGGACGGCCGGACCCUGGCGGAUUACAAUAUCCAGAAGGAAUCGACUCUCCAUCUUGUCCUCCGUCUCCGGGGAGGUAUGCAGAUCUUCGUCAAAACCCUAACCGGGAAGACGAUUACUCUGGAAGUGGAGAGCUCGGACACUAUUGACAACGUCAAGGCCAAGAUCCAGGAUAAGGAGGGAAUUCCCCCGGACCAGCAGAGGCUGAUCUUUGCCGGAAAGCAGUUGGAGGAUGGCCGAACCCUAGCCGAUUAUAAUAUUCAGAAGGAGUCGACUCUCCACUUGGUUCUGCGAUUGAGAGGAGGUAUGCAGAUUUUUGUCAAAACCCUAACGGGGAAGACAAUAACUCUCGAGGUCGAGAGCUCUGAUACCAUCGAUAAUGUGAAGGCCAAGAUCCAGGAUAAGGAGGGAAUCCCACCAGACCAGCAGAGAUUGAUUUUCGCUGGUAAGCAAUUGGAGGACGGAAGGACUUUGGCGGAUUACAACAUCCAAAAGGAGUCUACUUUGCACUUGGUCCUGCGUCUGAGAGGUGGCAUGCAAAUUUUCGUGAAGACCCUUACAGGGAAGACCAUAACUCUGGAGGUCGAGAGUUCCGAUACUAUUGACAAUGUGAAGGCGAAGAUUCAGGACAAGGAGGGCAUUCCUCCGGAUCAGCAGAGGCUCAUCUUUGCCGGGAAGCAAUUGGAGGAUGGCCGGACCCUGGCGGAUUAUAACAUCCAGAAGGAGUCGACUCUUCACCUUGUGCUCAGGCUUCGUGGUGGAAUGCAGAUAUUUGUGAAGACCCUAACAGGGAAAACAAUUACCCUGGAGGUUGAGAGCUCCGACACUAUUGAUAAUGUCAAAGCUAAGAUCCAGGAUAAGGAAGGGAUCCCACCGGACCAGCAGAGGCUGAUCUUUGCUGGGAAACAGCUUGAGGAUGGUCGCACCCUUGCAGAUUAUAACAUCCAGAAAGAGUCUACCCUCCAUCUUGUCCUUCGUCUCCGUGGCGGUGAUUUCUGAAGAAGUUUGUUGGUUUUAGUUGUUUUGUGUUGUUAUGGUGGCGAAUAAUGGUGGUGUGUUUUGGUUGGUGGCCAAUGUGCCACUAAAGUCAUGUUAUGUUUUAGGGUUUGUGGGUUGUGUUCUUUUAUGUUUCCUUUAGUUGUUAAUUUCUCAGUUUGGUAUUAAUGAACAAUUUCUAGUCUUGUGAACUUUAUCUGAUUCCCUUUCCUUUCAAUAGUGUUCUUAUUUUCCUUUACUUGCUUUCUUCUGAUGUUGGUUGUGUUCUUGUUGGUGAACCGCCAAGUUUAUGCUCCAAUUUUGACUUUUAAAUAGCUUAUUCGCCUCUCAUGCUGUAGUAACAUGCUGAGGCUCAUAAAUCUGUGGUCCGAAUGUUGGUUUGAUGUGUUGUUCUAGCUUCCUAGCAACUCUUGUUUGGUGUGAAGUUUGAGUAUUAUAAAUUCUAAAAGCUUCCCUUUCUUUUCCAUCGUUUUGUAGCUGAUGUAUAAUUGCUUCUUGUCUUUUCAAAUGUUUUCUUCUUAUGUGUAUUAUCUUCUGCUAAUCUUGAACAUUAUUGAGCUUCUUGGUUAAUAGAAGACAGCUGACUUUGCCAUUCAUGUUAUAACACAUGGUGAGAGUUUAUGGACGUUAGGGGUUGGUUGUGAUAUAGUUUGCAUUCUGGGGUAAUAUGUAGAUCCUCAAAAAAAUUAGCAAUUCUAUUGUCGCCUAAGAUAUACGCAACAGGUUACUCAAAUACAUAGUUUUGCUAGAAAGAUGGAGAGCAAUUCGAUUGUUCAAAUCAUGGGUGGUGAAUUCCAUCAAUAAAGGAUGCUUUAGCGUGAAUACAUUUUCAUUGCAUAUUUUAUGGUAGGUUGUUUUGUAGUACUGUCCUCUGUAUUUUAUGGACUUGUUAUAUAGUGCUCUGCUGUGAAUUGCUCAUGAUGGUAGGGUGUUUUCUUGAUUGGCCAGUCCAGUCCAGUCAAAACUCGAGUUGGUAUUAAUUUAGUCCCGUAAACUUUCAUGUGCUUCCCUUUGUUUUCGUUUCUUUUGUGCUUUUGGAUGCAAAUUUGGCUCUUUUUCAUGAUAAUGCCUUGUUUCAAUUUCUUUGUAUGUGUUCCUGCCUUGAGAACUUUGAACUGGUGAAGCAUGCAUCAAAUCUGUCUUCUACAAGGAAAUAUAAGCCUAUUUCUCUUCUGAUCGUUGGGUUAUUGGCUGUCUGAAUUGGUUCAUCAGCAUUAUUGAUCUUGCUUAUCCUGAGAAACCAGUUGAUGUUUUUGGUCGAUGAGAACUAGUUGAUUGAAAACAGUAGAUUGCCUCUUGUGCUAUAACACAAGCGGAGAGACUUAUGACAUAGUUUGCGCUUCCGGAGCUCAGGUUUAGUGAAUUCAAACAAUGAGGAAUGUUUUGAUUUGUACACAGUACUCUGCUAAUUGUGUUAUAGCACCUGUUGUGUGUAUUGACGUGAUAUAUUGGACUUUGUAACUCCUAAGAUGUUUAAUGCUUUCUUUUUCUGGCUACGAUACGAUGCUUGUAUCCCUGGUUAUUGUUGAAUAUGUGCCGUACUUUUUUGUUUCCAUCCAUUAACUUGGGUGCUUUAGUGUUGAUUCUAGUGUUGCAUGUUGCCUACCAUAUUUACUUUGCAAUUUAUCAACUCCCUUGUGAUUUCCCAAAUGUUAAUUCUCGAACAAUAACUACCUAAUCUCUUCCAUGACUCUCUAGGUUUGUGCCUUGCUGAGACCAAGGCAUAUCAUUUUGAUGUUGAAAUGGGGAGUCUGGAUCUUCGCAAUUGAAAUAAGACAUUCUUGGUAACGUUCAAACGCUGUCAUGUUUGGAUUGACAGUUGCUUGGUAGAUGAAGAGGGGACAUGGAAUACAAGAUAGAGGCUGCUGCAUCGGCCAGACCUGAAUUGUUCUUGUGUAUUGUGUGCUUCUUCGCUGUGAUGUGCCAUUUUCUAAUUGUCUUGCCACACUGUCAUUGGAUAUUGCGGCAGAGCUUAAUUUGUUCGUAUUUCUUAGUUUUAGUAGCCUUACCACUUGCCUGUGUUACCGAUACAUCAAGAAGAACAGUUACAAGAGCUACACAGUAUUUGUACAAGUAAUGAAUUUUGUGAGUUCAAUUGUGCAAGGCAAACAACUUCGUCCGUGUAAGUUUAUCUUACAUUGCCGGUCUCAAGUCCGGAUAAAGGAGGAGGGGGAGGAUGUCAGGUAGUCGACAGCCGGCAUUCCUAGGUUACGUCGAAUCCUUAUAAAAAUGAAUCCAGAACGAAAUCACGCUAAAGCUAGGGCGUUACUCGUAAGUGAUGCGCUGUGUGGCCCGAGCACAGUGAUAAGUGAGUAAGGGUCGUUGUAUCUCCAUCGGCACCUAUAUGCAGUGUUAAAUGAGCAAGGGGGCCAUAGAAACUUCUUUUUGAACGACUCCACUCAAAGUUGUUUGGGAGCAUAUGCUCCUAUUAACUUUACACAAGACACACAGAAGAAGUACUUUGAUUCUAUUAGACGGGGAAGGUUGAAAAAGCUAGGACAGAAGGGUAGAGUUAAGAGAGUAGAAUGCGUUUAGGAACGUGGAAUAUAGGAACCCUAACGGGAAAAUCUAUGGAAGUAGUGGAAGUUAUGGUGAGGAGAAGGAUAAAUAUUAUGUGCCUACAAGAAACUAAGUGGGUUGGUCUUAAGGCAAAGGAUCUAGAAAACUCAGGGUUUAAACUUUGGUAUUCGGGCACAAAUAGAACAAGAAACGGUGUUGGCAUAAUCGUGGACAAGACCUUGACACAAGAUGUUGUAGAUGUCAAGAGGGUAGGAGAUAGAAUCAUGGCAAUCAAGAUUGUACUAGGACAAGAACUCAUCAAUGUGAUUAGUGCGUACGGACCUCAAGUAGGGUCCGAUACGAGUUCGAAGGAGAAAUUUUGGAAAGACCUUGGAGACUUGGUGCAAGGAAUUGCUUAGACGGAGAAGUUAUUUAUAGGAUGAGAUUUAAAUGGACACAUGGGCAAGGAGACAGGCAAUUAUGGAGGUUUUCAUGGUGGCCAUGGUUUUGGGGAGAGAAACGAGGAUGGGGAAGCUAUCUUGGAUUUUGCAAUGGCAUAUGAUCUCUUUCUAGCUAACACAUUCUUUAAGAAGAGAGAAGAACAUGUGAUCACUUACAAGAGUGGGUUGUCAAAAACACAAAUAGAUUUUCUUCUAAUGAGGAAAGGGGAUCGUAUAACUUGUAAGGAUUGCAAAGUUAUACUGGGAGAGAGCUUGGCUAAUCAACAUCGCUUGUUGGUGAUGGAUGUACAUAUCAAAAGAGAGAAAAAACAACAAGACUUGGAAAUGCCCAAGGACUAGAUGGUGGAAUCUAAAAGGAGAAAAACAAGCCAUUUUCAAAGGUGGGAUUCCAUGGCUAGUUGUAUCCGAAAAGUAGCAAAAGAGGUAUUAGGAGAGUCCAAGGGCUUUGCUCCACACCAAAAGGAAUCUUGGUGGUGGAAUGAGGAGGUACAAACAAAGGUGAAGGCUAAAAAGGAAUGUUGUAAAGCCUUAUACAAGGAUAUGACCGAUAAAAAUGGUGAAAGGUAUAGAAGAGCGAAGCAAGAGGCGAAGAAAGCUGUGAGAGAAGCUAAGUUAGUGGCUUAUGACGAUAUGUAUAAGCGACUAGAUACCAAAGAAUGAGAGUUAGAUAUCUAUAAACUAGCUAGAGCAAGGGAAAAGAAGACAAGGGACCUAAACCAAGUGAGGUGCAUCAAGGAUGAGGAUGGAAAUGUUCUUGCUACAAAGAACGCGGUCAAAGACAGAUGGAGAGGUUAUUUUCAUAAUCUUUUCAAUGAAGGACAUGAAAAUAGUACUUCUUUAGGGGAGUUGAGUAACUCAGAAGAGUGUAGAAACUACCCAUUUUAUCGUCGAAUCAGGAAGGAAGAAGUAGUUGUAGCUUUGAAGAAGAUGAAGCAUAGAAAAGCAGUGGGUCCAGAUGAUAUACCGAUCAAAGUGUGGAAAGUCUUGGGAAAGACAGGUAUAGCAUGGCUCACUGACCUUUUCAAUAGGAUUUUGAAAACGAAGAAGAUGCCAAAUGAGUGGCGAAAUAGCACUUUGGUGCCUAUCUGGAAGAAUAAGGGCGACGUACAAAAUUGCAUGAACUAUGGAGGUAUUAAGCUAAUGAGUCAUACAAUGAAGCUCUAGGAGAGAGUCAUUGAGCAUAAAUUGAGGUAAGAGACAUGGGUUUCGGACAACCAAUUUGGGUUCAUGUCAGGGCGCUCAACCAUGGAGGCAAUCUAUCUCUUACGAAGAUUGAUGGAAAGAUAUAGAGAGGGGAAAAAUGAUUUACACAUGGUCUUUAUAGAUUUGGAGAAAGCGUAUGAUAGGGUCCCAAGAGACAUUCUUUGGAGAAUUUUAGAGAAGAAAGGAGUACGAGUAGCAUAUAUCCAAGCUAUAAAGGAUAUGUAUAAAGGAGCAAAGACUGCCGUAAGAACUCAUGAAGGACAAACCGAAAGCUUCCCCAUAACUGUAGGAUUACAUCAAGGCUCAUCCUUAAGUCCUUACCUUUUUGCGUUGGUAAUGGAUGAGUUAACAGGACAUAUUCAAGAUGAUAUUCCUUGGUGUAUGCUUUUUGUAGACGAUAUAGUGUUGAUAGAUGAAACUCAGGAAAGGGUAAAUGUGAAGCUUAACCUUUGGAGAGAAGUGUUGGAAUCUAAAGGUCUUCGCCUAAGUCGAUCAAAGACAGAAUAUAUGAAGUGCAAGUUCAGUGCAAAUGAAGGCCAACAUGAGUUAGGGGUGAGGAUCGGAGAACAGGAAAUACCAAAGAGCGACUGCUUUCACUACCUAGGAUCUAUCUUGCAAAAGAACGGAGAAUUAGAUGGAGAUCUCAACCAUAGAAUACAAGCUGGAUAGAUGAAGUGGAAUAGUGCAUCCGGCUUGUUGUGUGAUCGUCGUAUGCCAAUGAAGCUUAAAGGAAAAUUUUAUAGGACGACAAUAAGGCCGGCGAUGCUGUAUGGCACAGAAUGUUGGGCAGUGAAGCAUCAACACGUACACAAAAUGGGUGUAGCGGAGAUGAGGAUGCUUCGUUGGAUGUGUGGGCACACGAGAAAUCAUAAGAUUAGGAAUGAGGAUAUCCAAGGUAAAGUAAAAGUAGCCGAAAUUGUAGGAAAGCUGAGAGAAAAUCGGUUACGGUGGUUUGGACAUGUGCAAAGAAGGCCUACUGACGCUCCGGUUAGAAGAUGCGACUACGGGAUAGAGGUUUAGGGCCGAAGGGGUAGAGGAAGACCAAGGAAAACUUUGGAAGAGACUCUAAGAAAGACUUAGAGUACUCGGAUCUAACGAAGGACAUGACACAGGACCGAGCACAAUGGCGUUCUAAGAUGCAUAUAGCCGACCCUACUUAGUGACUUGGAUUUUUCAAGUCUCCAACCAAGAAGUUUUCCUCACUCGAGAAAUUAAGGGAACACUACCUCAACCUACAUGCUUCACUCACAAAGCUUCAACAUACAAGCUUCAACAAAAGAAAAAUUCAAAGAACUUAGUGAAGAAGGCUUUGGUGUAUUUAACACAAUACGUUGAAAUGAAGCAAAGCUUAUUUAUUGAUAUCUCCGAUAAGUUACAAAUAUGUACAUAUACAUGAGUCAAAAUAAACAAACAAGAGGGAGUCUUCACAAAGGUUGCUUAGGAGAAGUCUCAGCAGUCGGUAGAGUCCCAGAAAGAGAAGGCACCGGAGGGUGAUCAUUCGGAGCCUCAGUACUGGACAGAACCCUAGAAGGAAGAGGCAUCGAAGGUUGAUCAUUUGGAGCUUCAUUACGCGGUACAGCCCCAAAGGACAAAUACACUAAAUGCCUUUGGAACAAACCCACAAACAUCCGAUGAUCAAGUAAAAUAUGACCAUCAGAUUCCUUCAUUUGGUCAAGCUUUCUCUUCAUGUUUGUAGCAUAGUCAUGUGCGAGCUUGUGCAACUGUUUAUUCUCAUGCUUGAGCCCUUUAAUCUCCUGCUUGAGACUUAUCACUUCAGCCGCCAAUGAUUAAACUUGGCGGGUUUGAGCAAAUAGGCGUUGGGCCAUAUUAGACAUAGAACCUGCACACUGAACACUGAGAGCCAGAGAAUCCAUAACAGCCAACUCAUCAGACCGUUUGGAAAGAAGUCUGUUAUCUUUGGGAGUGAGAAGGUUCCUGGCCACCACCGCAGCGGUCAUAUCAUUUUUCAUCACAGAAUCCCCAACGGUAAGAGGACCAGUAGGGGAUAAGAAGGAUGGGCGCCAUAUGUUGUUUGGAAAAGACGCGGCUGCCUCUUCACCAAGGUUCAAGUCAAAACGACGGUCGAAGGGGCCAAACAUUUUCAAAGGUGUUGAAGAGAGAAGAGGUCGGACAAAUUAAGAUCUUAGAAGUGCAAGAAUGGAGCUUUUACUGGUGGAGAUUCAAGUGUGCUUUGGAACUUAAUGCCAGCCUCUAUAAAAACUGCACUCGACGGAGCUUCAGAAAUCGAAGAGGCGCCUGCUCAAAAAUUGAAGAGGCGUUUGCUUUCUCAAAAGUUGGGCUGCUCAGAGACCAUGAGGGCCGAUCUCAAAAAUCGAAGAGGCGUUUGCUUUCUCAAAAGCUAGGCUGUUCAAAGACCACGAUGGUUGAUCUCAAAAAUCAAAGAAGCGCUUGCUUUCUCAAAAGCUGGGCUGCUCAGAGACCACGAGGGCCGAUCUUAAAAAUCGAAGAGGCACCUACUUUCUCAGCCUUGUCAGUACCUGUCAUAUGCACACUCAGCGUUGCGAAAAUUACAGGCAAUCUGUCGAAGAUUUCUGGUGAAGUAGAAAGCACGUGAAUCUUACCGUUCAAUCAUCCACUUUCCACACGCAACAUCAGCUCAUGGGUACCACAGAUAACUUUGCCAAAGAUCUCUGACAAAGUUUAGACACGUGAAGCUUGCAGCUCCCACUACAUCGCUAUGGCCAAGAAGGGUAAAAGAAUAGCAAAGAAACAGCACUAACAAAGUUUAGAUACAUAAAUUUUGAAGGUCUAGCUACCAUAUUAUUACCCACAAGGGUAAAGGAACAACACCGCUGCUGGAUAAUUGGAAAGUCCCUGUGUGUCAACCUCUGUACUCUGUGGCAAGGUAGACUAGCAAAAAUGCCUAACCUUUACUCACAUUCGAGAAAACACUCCCAACAAGAUUGCUUGCUCCAAAAUCGAAGAGGCACCGCCCUCCGAAUCUUGAGAGCCAAACUCCCAACAUAAUUACUUUCUAAAAAAUCGAAGAGACACCGCUCUCCGAAUUUCAAGAGCCAGACUCCCAGCAGGAUUGUUUUCUCAAAAAUCGAAGAGGCACUGUUCUCCGAAUCUCGAGAGCCAGAUCCCCGACAGGAUCGCUUGUUCAAAAACCAAAGAGGCAUCGCUUUCUCAACUUCGAGAAUCAAAUCUCCUUGGAUAAAGCUUGUCUGUAAUCUUCACACGCAACAUCAGCUUUCCAAAUACCACAUACCACUUUUUCAAAGUGCUCUGACAGAGUUAAAACAUGUGAAGCUGGCAGCUCCCACUACAGUGCUAUGACCAAGAAGGGUAAAGGAAUAACAUUACUACUUUUUAUUAGGGAGACUCCUAUAUAUGUCGACUUCCAUUCUCAACGGACAGGCAGACCUGCAAAAAUUCUCAACCCUUCCUCAUAUCUGAGAAAUCACUCCCAACGAAGCUUCUCGAAAUACUCAGCUUUCUUUCCCUCCGAUAAUACCUCUGCAAACAAGCUACACCAGAGCAAGAAUAUCUCAUAUCAUCAGGGUUAAAAGCAAGAGUAUCCCAUAUCAUGCUUUUUCCCUGUCUUUUCCUUUGGCCCUGUUCUUACCUGUAAGACAAGGAAAAAGAGAGCAAUCAGUCAACAC
This 39494-nucleotide long non-coding RNA is filed under the name Malus domestica (apple). Its description in RNAcentral is "long non-coding RNA (MDOM_LNC011399)". The record is from RNAcentral. Lineage: Eukaryota; Viridiplantae; Streptophyta; Magnoliopsida; Rosales; Rosaceae.